This is a long non-coding RNA of Cyprinus carpio carpio, 350 nucleotides long. Lineage: Eukaryota; Metazoa; Chordata; Actinopteri; Cypriniformes; Cyprinidae. The record is from Ensembl.
ACAGAUAUAUACUCUCAGAUUGCCUUUUUUGAUAAUUCGCACUGCAUGAAUGAGCACCGAUUUUGGGUAUUUGAUGGUGAUUUCACAAAACCUGUCGGUAUUAAAGUGACUGAGCAUUAUGGCAGCUCAUUCUUAAAGGGCUCGUAGGAAGGACAUACUGCAUCUGUGGUGAACAGUCCUCUGGUAGAGCGUUUCUGUGCGAGAAAGCUUGAGGACGCAUCUGAAGUGCUUUGAUAAAGUGCUUUGAGAGAAAAUGAACUCCCUCAUGGAUUUAAUGACAUCAAAGAGUGGAUAAACAAGUCAUGAAAUCUGGGCAGCAAGCACUGCAGAACUAUAGCUGUACUGAGAAC